Molecule: ribosomal RNA, 252 nt
Filed under: uncultured bacterium
Lineage: Bacteria
Description: partial 16S ribosomal RNA
Rfam family: Bacterial small subunit ribosomal RNA
Source: RNAcentral
UACGUAGGGGGCUAGCGUUGUCCGGAAUCACUGGGCGUAAAGGGUACGUAGGUGGUUAGUAAAGUUAGAAGUGAAAGGCUGUAGCUCAACUAUAGUAAGCUUUUAAAACUGUGUAACUUGAGAGAUGGAAGGGAAAGUGGAAUUCCUAGUGUAGCGGUGAAAUGCGCAGAUAUUAGGAGGAAUACCGGUGGCGAAGGCGGGUCUCUGGGCAGUAAUUGACGCUGAGGAGCGAAAGCAUGGGGAGCGAACAGG